GGGAGAACAGGCGCUGCCGUAAAGCUUAGUGUAAAAGCGCACAAAAUUUAUGCGGCGGAUUAGAGGCGGCUGGCUCGACCGCGGCUCACAAAUGACGGCUCACUUGGCCGCGAUGAAAUGAGGGCUAAAACGUGAGACUGGGAUUUUUUUUCAUAAUUGUUUUCCUUCACCCACGGACAAAUGGAUCAAGCAGAGCAGCUGGAGGAGAUCUCUGCUUGGUGUAAAGAGGAAGGUCUUCCUCCUGACUCCUCAAAGGAAGCUCAGCUGUGUUUGCUAUGGCGUGCCCUUCAGCACACGAUGAGCCGCCUCAGCAAAGUGACCAGAGACCUGGAAACCCACCGCUCUCAGCACUUAGCAGAAAUGGCGGAGGUACGCAAGUCGCUGGAGCAGAUCAGAUUCUUCACGGAGCACAAAAAUGUUUUGGCUCAGGAGAUACAAGAAGAGAAUGAUCACCUUAAGGAGCAGCUGCGGCACCUAAUAUCACUUCAAGAUGCCCAGAUUAGCGAGGUGGCUAAAAUGCUGUACCAACAGGGUCUCACAGAGUUGAUUCACAGCAGCCCCAGUGAGCAGGUGGCAUACCUCCUGGUGGAGAGGGCUUCCCUGCUUGAGACAAGUGAGCUUACAGACAAGGUGAAGGGAUAUGGAAACACAGCCAAUCAUAUGGGGACAGGAGCACAAGUGAAGAGGACCGGCGUAUCCCAGGCUGCCCACAAGGGGGCACCACGUCAUGGGCAGAGCGCAUGGAAAAAACUCUUUGGACUCAAGUCUUCACAGAACAAACAUACUUUUAUUCCUUGUUAUUUAGCUCUGUUCUGAGCACAGGUUAGGGAAUUUGCAUGGCAGAAGAAUUUCAAGAUACUACCCGACUGAUGCAUCUUGACACACUGCACUUCUCAAGGUGUCCAAUUCUUGCAUGGACCUCUAAACAUUUACUCUGCUGAGGCCAGAUUUUUGGCUGGCCAGGAAAGCAGUUUGGGGAGAGAAUGCUCCCGGCUGGAGCGGGACCUGGAGGAGGGCUCCCGUCGGCUGGCAAUGGCGCACAAUGAGAUCCGGCGUUUGACUGAUGAGCUGGAGUCUGCUCAUUUGACCCAGAGAGCGUAUGAGCCUGAGCUGCAAUCAGCACAGCAGGAGGUGGAGCAGCUCCGGCAGGAGGUAGAAAAGCUGAAGAAAUAUGAAAUUGUGGAAUUGCGAAAGACCAAAGAGCUAAAUGAUCGCCUGGACCUCGAGAUCCGAGCCUUGAGGAAUAGGGUUCGCUCAUUGGAUGCUGAGAAAACCUCUUUGCAGCAGACGGUCGUGUCGCUGCAAGAAGAAGCAGAGCAGCUGAAGGCAGCCUUACAGGAGGAGCUCCUAACUAAACAGGCUCCAGCCAAACAAGUAACAGAGAUGACUGAAGUUGUGUCUCUAAAGAAGAAGGCAGAGCGACUGGAGUCAGCCCUACAAGAGCAGCAGCAGCAACUUCUCACUGUGCAAGUUCAGGCCAACCAUGCCAACGAAUUAGCCAAAAUACAUUCUCUUCAGCAGCAGGUUGACUGUGCCCAAACCAGCGUGGAUAACCUUGUGCUAAAUAUCAACAGCAGUGAAGACAUCCCGCAGGAUCAAAAGCUGCUGAAACAAAAAAAGGCAGAUCCCCAUCUUUUUGUAAACACUCAGUCGCAUGACUCCUUUAUGACAGCGGAUGAAGAGCCACAGACGAUAAAGUACGAAGAAAACGCACCACAAAAGGAGUGUAUUAACUGUCAACAAGCAAUGAAAACUCUGCUGUCCUCCCAAGAGGAGUGUGAGGCACUUAAAAAGGAGAUCUGCGAAACCCUGAAAUGCAUUGAUGAGGAGCGAAGCAAAUUCCACAAGAUGAAGCAAAAACACAAGGCCAAACUUUGCAGAGCCAAACAGAAAUUUGAAGAUGAAACCACAUGGCGUGAUGAGAAGAUAAAAAGUCUAGAGAGAGAAUUGUCCUUGUGCUGUCAUUCAGUAGCAAAGGAGAAGGAGCUUGUCAUAAGCAUAACUGUGGAAAAUGAGAAACUACUCUCUGAGAGGAGGAAGCUACUGCAACAGCUAAACGAGGAGGAGCACAAGAAGAAGGAUAGUUGUCUAAAAGCUUCUUUAUCCAAAUGCAGGGUGGAACUUUUAGAGCUGGAAAACAAGAAACUCGGAAACCAAAUAUCACAAAUGUCCAACCAGCUCGCUGUCCUGGAGUUCAGCCUGCAGAAGACACAGCUGCUUCACUUUGCUGAGAAACUUAAGAAAAUGCCAGAUGACCAGCAAGUUUUCAAGUCUCUUCCUCAGCAGUCUUCAAGUGUGAUUUCACCCGAGCUGUCUGAAGCUCAGGGCUUGUUGGAUGGUACACUUAGAGGUCACUCCAAGCAGACAGAUGGGACUUGUUACAGUCAUGCGUCUGAGAUUUUGUGUCAGUCAGCAGAUAUGAGCUACCUGAACCUGACCUCCACACAAAAAAACCACUUGGACCGCUCACCUCCCCUGGCUGCCCUCAGCAGCCUUGAAAAUCUGCCUUCCUGAAGUUUUCUGUUUUGAGUGUGAUCAUGAACUAUUUUAUUUGUAUGUUAAAUUAAUAAAUAAGAUACAAAAUGGGUUUGAAUUUCAUUAAAUCAAAUUAAACCAGCCUG
Long non-coding RNA from Oreochromis aureus, 2621 nucleotides. The record is from Ensembl. Lineage: Eukaryota; Metazoa; Chordata; Actinopteri; Cichliformes; Cichlidae.